GUCCCCGUAGUUCAAUGGAUAGAACGGCGCCGUCCUAAGGUGCAUGUUGGAGGUUCGACUCCUCCCGGGGACG
This 73-nucleotide transfer RNA is filed under the name Candidatus Gottesmanbacteria bacterium. Its description in RNAcentral is "tRNA-Arg". It matches the Rfam family "tRNA". Rfam says of the family: Transfer RNA (tRNA) molecules are approximately 80 nucleotides in length. Their secondary structure includes four short double-helical elements and three loops (D, anti-codon, and T loops). Further hydrogen bonds mediate the characteristic L-shaped molecular structure. tRNAs have two regions of fundamental functional importance: the anti-codon, which is responsible for specific mRNA codon recognition, and the 3' end, to which the tRNAs corresponding amino acid is attached (by aminoacyl-tRNA synthetases). tRNAs cope with the degeneracy of the genetic code in two manners: having more than one tRNA (with a specific anti-codon) for a particular amino acid; and 'wobble' base-pairing, i.e. permitting non-standard base-pairing at the 3rd anti-codon position. The record is from RNAcentral. Lineage: Bacteria; Candidatus Gottesmaniibacteriota.